UGGGGAAUAUUGGACAAUGGGCGCAAGCCUGAUCCAGCCAUGCCGCGUGAGUGAUGAAGGCCCUAGGGUUGUAAAGCUCUUUUACCCGCGAAGAUACUGCUGGUCUCGAGUUCGAGAGAGGUGAGUGGAAUUCCGAGUGUAGAGGUGAAAUUCGUAGAUAUUCGGAGGAACACCAGUGGCGAAGGCGGCUCACUGGCUCGAUACUGACGCUGAGGUGCGAAAGCGUGGGGAGCAAACAGGAUUAGAUACCCGGGUAGUCC
This 260-nucleotide ribosomal RNA is filed under the name uncultured prokaryote. Its description in RNAcentral is "partial 16S ribosomal RNA". It matches the Rfam family "Bacterial small subunit ribosomal RNA", at positions 355 to 796 of the family's 1533-position model. The record is from RNAcentral.